AUAACACAGUGUUCUAAUAUCUGAUUAUAUGUUUAUUUACUUUUAUUUUGGCUGCAGAGAACAACUGAAAUUACAGGAGGAAAGGAAAUGGAAGAAGAAACUAUUGACGUUAUUUUUAUCUCAAUCAUUUAAUAGUUACUGUUUCUCUAAGAACCUUGUGACUGCUUCAGGAGAAUAAGAAGUCCCAGUGCCCCAGCCCCCAACAAACUCCCUCUGUUGCCCUAGUGUAUCAGCUUAUUGCGGACUAUUAGCUACAGCAGAACAUCUUUUGAAGACAGAGCGUUGUAUACAUUGUCCAGGUGUAAGAAACUGAAGUUAACGAUACUUAAAGACACCUUACCCCGCCAAGACCAGGGGGGCCAGGAGGGCCAGGGGGGCCAGGAGGGCCUGGGAUGCCGUCAUCACCAUCUCUGCCUGGUGGGCCUGGUGG
Long non-coding RNA from Bubalus bubalis (water buffalo), 430 nucleotides. RefSeq lists it as uncharacterized. NCBI's taxonomy places the organism in Eukaryota, Metazoa, Chordata, Mammalia, Artiodactyla, Bovidae. The record is from RefSeq and is a predicted model, not a curated record. The transcript is spliced from 4 exons.